Molecule: long non-coding RNA, 1084 nt
Filed under: Cyanistes caeruleus (blue tit)
Lineage: Eukaryota; Metazoa; Chordata; Aves; Passeriformes; Paridae
Description: lncRNA (ENSCCEG00000018943.1)
Source: RNAcentral
ACAUGGACCUGAGAGCAUUAAACUGGAGCUUCACGCCAAUUAAUAGCCAGAUAAUUACAACCCAUCCCCUCCUACUUGCUGCUGACUUCCCCAUGUAAUUUUCUUUUAAUUUUUGCUUAAUAGGCACGCAGGAAAGAUGAGUUACUCAGUGUGCUGCUUGCAUUUGAUAUGUGGUAGACUCAGCAGACUGAUGCCCUCCAUCCAUCCUGGAUCAAGCUGUGGGUGUGAGCAGCGUGCUGGAGAGGACUGAUGGUGCUUCCCUGCCUGCCAAGGGAUGGAGAAACUUAAGGAAAAUGGAGAGGGGGGGAAAAAAAGGUCAAGGCUGGACAGGAAAGUCAGAAUGUUGGUGUGAGAAGACAAAGGGAGCCUUGCCAGAGGCUCAUCCCACCUCCAUCCAGACCUGCUGAGCUGCUUCCUGAGGAUUCUGAGUGGACAGAAACAGCCCCUGGAACAGCAUUACUGGCCAAGCACAGAAUUCAACUCAUCAUUUCCCCUGACAAAGAAGGCAACGAUUAGGCACGGAAAUAAUUUGGGCUACUGCCUGUGUUGGAGAUAACUCUCCGUAAGAGAUGCUGGCUCGGAUGUUUCUUUCUCUCCAUCCACAGUUUGGAAGGUCUGAAAGAGCUUUUGGCAUUUUGGAAAUGCCCAGAUCCACGCUGGAGCAGCUGGUGGGGGAAGAUCCUUGCAUUCCACUCACCCAUCCCUGGCAACCUCCUUCCCUGGGAUUAAGCAGGAGUGGAAACGCAGCCACCCUCACUUGGCAGGCUGAGGCAGGAGCGGAGGUGAGGAAUGCCCUCACUCUUGUUCCCACCUUUCCCCCUGCUCUCCUGCUUAUCCACAGGGAUGCAUUUUCUGCUGGCCCUGCAGACUCAUGUGGGAAGAGCCAUGCAAAGGGCUUGGGAGUUGUCCUUGCUUUAAAAAUUGGUUUUGCAGGAAUUCCCUCUGGCCAAAGUGCCCUUGCUAGAGCAGAUCCUUGGUGGUGCUCCGUGAGAAACUCCCCGAGAGAUCUCUGCCUUUACCUCCUUUCCAUGACUUAUGAUCCUCCUCCUGUCAUCCCCCUGCUCCACACGGUGAGGAAAUUAUU